GACGAACGCUGGCGGCGUGCUUAACACAUGCAAGUCGAACGGAAAGGCCCUUCGGGGUGCUCGAGUGGCGAACGGGUGAGUAACACGUGGGUGAUCUGCCCUGCACUUUGGGAUAAGCCUGGGAAACUGGGUCUAAUACCGAAUAGGACUCCGGCCUUCAUGGGUUGGGGUGGAAAGCUUUUGCGGUGUGGGAUGGGCCCGCGGCCUAUCAGCUUGUUGGUGGGGUAAUGGCCUACCAAGGCGACGACGGGUAGCCGGCCUGAGAGGGUGACCGGCCACACUGGGACUGAGAUACGGCCCAGACUCCUACGGGAGGCAGCAGUGGGGAAUAUUGCACAAUGGGCGCAAGCCUGAUGCAGCGACGCCGCGUGAGGGAUGACGGCCUUCGGGUUGUAAACCUCUUUCAGCACAGACGAAGCGCAAGUGNCGGUAUGUGCAGAAGAAGGACCGGCCAACUACGUGC
Molecule: ribosomal RNA, 463 nt
Filed under: uncultured Mycobacteriaceae bacterium
Lineage: Bacteria; Bacillati; Actinomycetota; Actinomycetes; Mycobacteriales; Mycobacteriaceae
Description: bacterial SSU rRNA
Rfam family: Bacterial small subunit ribosomal RNA
Source: RNAcentral